Molecule: long non-coding RNA, 1443 nt
Filed under: Rhinolophus ferrumequinum (greater horseshoe bat)
Lineage: Eukaryota; Metazoa; Chordata; Mammalia; Chiroptera; Rhinolophidae
Description: lncRNA (ENSRFEG00010018197.1)
Source: RNAcentral
AUGUUUGAGUUUUUGUUGAAUCUUAAUUGCAGCCUUACGUAUUUUCUUUUGUACGCUAAGUUAAAAGAAAAUUGCCUAACUAAAUUUUUGGAGGACAAAUAUAUAAAAAACUGGAGGCCAAGAUAUUUCCUUUUGAAGACAGAUGGCUCAUUCAUAGGAUAUAAAGAGAAACCUCAAGAUGUGGAUUUACCUUAUCCGCUCAACAACUUUUCAGUGGCAAAAUGCCAGUUAAUGAAAACAGAACGACCAAAGCCAAACACAUUUAUUAUCAGAUGUCUCCAGUGGACCACUGUUAUAGAGAGGACAUUUCAUGUAGAUACCCCAGAGGAAAGGGAAGAAUGGACAGAAGCUAUUCAGGCAGUAGCAGACAGACUUCAGAGGCAAGAAGAGGAGAGAAUGAACUGUAGUCCAACUUCACAAAUUGAUAAUAUAGGGGAGGAAGAGAUGGAUGCUUCUACAACCCAUCACAAAAGAAAGACAAUGAAUGAUUUUGACUAUUUGAAACUACUAGGAAAAGGCACUUUUGGGAAAGUUAUUUUGGUUCGAGAGAAGGCAAGUGGGAAAUAUUAUGCUAUGAAGAUUCUGAAGAAAGAAGUUAUUAUUGCAAAGGUAACUGAAAUUUUUGUUUGUUCCUUGAAAUAUUCCUUCCAGACAAAAGACCGUUUGUGUUUUGUGAUGGAAUAUGUUAAUGGGGGAGAGCUGUUUUUCCAUUUGUCGAGAGAGCGGGUGUUCUCUGAGGACCGCACACGUUUCUAUGGUGCAGAAAUUGUCUCUGCCUUGGACUAUCUACAUUCCGGAAAGAUUGUGUACCGUGAUCUCAAGUUGGAGAAUUUGAUGCUGGAUAAAGAUGGCCACAUAAAAAUUACAGAUUUUGGACUUUGCAAAGAAGGGAUCACAGAUGCAGCCACCAUGAAGACAUUCUGUGGUACCCCAGAAUAUCUGGCUCCCGAGGUAUUAGAAGAUAAUGACUAUGGCCGAGCUGUGGAUUGGUGGGGCCUAGGAGUUGUGAUGUAUGAAAUGAUGUGUGGGAGGUUACCUUUUUACAACCAGGAUCAUGAGAAACUUUUUGAACUAAUUCUAAUGGAAGACAUUAAAUUUCCACGAACACUCUCUUCAGAUGCAAAAUCAUUGCUUUCAGGGCUCUUGAUAAAGGAUCCAAAUAAACGUCUUGGUGGAGGACCAGAUGAUGCAAAAGAAAUUAUGAGACACAGUUUCUUCUCUGGAGUAAACUGGCAAGAUGUAUACGAUAAAAAGCUUGUACCUCCUUUUAAGCCUCAAGUAACAUCUGAGACAGAUACCAGAUAUUUUGAUGAAGAAUUUACAGCUCAGACUAUUACAAUAACACCACCUGAAAAAUAUGAUGAGGAUGGUAUGGAUUGCAUGGACAACGAGAGGCGGCCGCACUUCCCGCAGUUUUCCUACUCUGCAAGUGGACGCGAAUAA